Molecule: long non-coding RNA, 673 nt
Organism: Numida meleagris (helmeted guineafowl)
Lineage: Eukaryota; Metazoa; Chordata; Aves; Galliformes; Numididae
Exons: 5
Source: RefSeq, a predicted model, not a curated record
UCUGAAGGUGCUCAAGCCCUGUGGGAUCACCAAUAUUCCAGGAUGAAGUAUCUCACUUUAUCACCAUUCUUCCAGUAAUUGUCCAUUUACUGUCUUUCGAAGGAAGCAAUGGAAGACUUCAGUUACCUAUGAACAGACUUGUAUGAACUAUAACAGCACGUAUAUAAGAUUUCAGAAAUAACUGUUUUUGAAGCAAAAACUCAGAAGAUUAAUCCUAAGAACACAAGUCCUUGUCAGAAUAUGCUGAGGAACGUUACUGUAAUAGUGACCGUGUAAGAAAAAAACAACCUUGAAGUUGCUGUUUGCUCUAGUGCAUAAUCUAUUCCUGAACAGAUCUUCAGUGCCAAAGGAAUAUAAAGUGACAAAUACCAUGUCAGUCUGUUAAACAAUCUCUGUGUUUCCUGAGCACUACAAAACAGACUUUCUCAGAGUUUUCUGCUGUUCUGCCAUCUCUGCUGUUUGUCAGGCUUCAUAGGAGAAAGCCAGCUGUCCUGUUAAAUUACCAGUCUUUUCAAGAGGAAAUCAACCUCAGCUUUCUUUUAACUGACAGAUAAACCUACACUGCCUGAAGUAAUAAAAAAAUCCCACCUGUACUCAGUGUCUGGCUUCAUGACUACAAAUGCUCUCAUACUGGCGUGGGGAUGAGAAAUACCUAAAAUUUGUCUGUAUCAUC